Molecule: long non-coding RNA, 525 nt
Organism: Sinocyclocheilus anshuiensis
Lineage: Eukaryota; Metazoa; Chordata; Actinopteri; Cypriniformes; Cyprinidae
Exons: 5
Source: RefSeq, a predicted model, not a curated record
UUUUGCAUUUUGCCCUCAGUUUUGCCUUGUUCUUUGUUGUGCGUUAAAUGUGUGAUUUCCAGCCGUUUUGGGUAAUUCACAGAGGAGUUUAUCUGGAUUUAGACGCAGCAGUGUGAACAUGUCCAGAGAGUUGUUACAUCUGCGAAAAUUCAGCGUUAAGAGAUCCUACAAUCGCACAGGUUGUGUUUGGACCGCUGCCCUCAGGGGAACGUGUAAUCAUUCACUGUACAGUGCAGACGUCAGCUUUACUGGAACCAGAUGGAGAGACAGAGUCUGUGUUUACCUGGACCAGUGGGCACAUAUAUGACCGUCCCCGACAGACAUGUGAAAUCUGACCUCAGGUCAGCCAGAGAGACUGUUCUCCAUCCAAACGUUCAGUUUGUGACACUUGGACGUGCGGGAUGGUGCCAGUUUGCCGGAGGCGUAUUCUGAGUGUGUCCGCUAUCAGAAACAGGAUGGCAUCAGCUCAGUGUGUGUUUCUCGUCUGUGAGGAUCUCUGGACGGAUGGACCUGCGGGUUUGAUCU